This 1371-nucleotide long non-coding RNA is filed under the name Camelus dromedarius (Arabian camel). RNAcentral describes it as "lncRNA (ENSCDRG00005012514.1)". Lineage: Eukaryota; Metazoa; Chordata; Mammalia; Artiodactyla; Camelidae. The record is from RNAcentral.
CCCCGCCUCCGCCACCUCCCCGCCACCACCCACCUCCGGAAAGCAGAUUCACUGACAAAGCACCUCGCCCCGCAGGACUCCCCGCCCCGUGUGCACCCACCCGGAAUCCGAGCGUUCAUCGAUAGCGUUUGCUGGAAGCUUCGCGGAUCUACUAAGAGAAGAGGAAAAGCCUCAGGAUGGACAUUCGAAAGGUCAGGUCGUCCAGGGCUGGGCUGCAGAGAUCUUCCGCAGAAGACUUACCACCCUUGACACAUGGCCUCGGUGGAUUUUAUCCAAAUAGGGGUUGCUUCAGAGUUUAUUCAUGCAAAAGAUUCAGGACACCGGCAGGUUCCUGGUAAGACCACCUCAGCUUGCAGUCCUCGCUGGGAAGGAGGGGACAGCGAACGGCUUAUGAAGCUGAUCGGGGCCUUCUUAGGAUGGCUGAGCUUGGUAGGAAUGGAGGAGGGACCAGGACCCAUGGCCCAACCCCAUCGCCUGCUCUCCCUGUGCCAGCGUGGGCCAGCGGCGCUGCACAGCCACCUCCUGGACGUCCCUUCACCUCCCCUGGGUUGAACUGUGGAUCAGAAACAUAGGACCUAGUAGGUGCCCUGUGCAAGGUAACUAUGCUGUGUUCUCACCACAGUACCUUAAUAAACUACCAAAUAGAUGUCAGUAAUCCCUGUUCCAUGAUGACACAAGGCCAUGAUCCCCACACGACCCAUUUAUUUCCCUCUCUGAUUUUUAACACAUCUUCCUCUUCCCCUUUAAACAAGCAGGUAUGAAUUCUUAAGUCAUGCCUGCUUGAAUUCAGGAGGAGAGGCCUAAGAUUAGAAUUAGAAGGAAGGUUUUAAAUCAAGUGACCUAUGACUGAGUUCAAAACAACUCACUCCAGCAAGCCAGCUGGCAAAACGACUUCCAAUUCAUGAAAGCGGGGGGAAAAAAAGCCUUCCCAUUUGAGUCACUCGACCAUUUCACGCACAAAGACUUUGUGUACGUACCAGAAAGACAAGCCUUUCCACAUUUGCAUGUAUCCUUUUUAUAGUUGUUGUGAUUUUGCCAGGUGCUUUAUGACCAUUUUUUAUUAGCUGGGUCUCUCCAUAGUCCUGUGAGGUAUAGAUUAGAAGGUAAAGCAGGUCCUGUACAGGAUGAGGCAGGAAGCAAACUCUCCAGGGACAUCUUACUCCAGGAAAGCCUGUGUGAAAGAACGCACUUUCCCCUGCUUGCCGGAGGCACCAGGAAAUAGAAGUCAGCCUGGAAAAUACUGCUGAGCCAUUUUUAAAAGCAAAUUUCUUUAUAAAGCGCAUAUAUUUCUUCUCUCUCUCUCUCUCAUUUGCUUAACUUCAGCCGGUCUAUAUUUCAGUUCAAACAUAGGAUCAUAUAGCAAAUCCCUCC